RNAcentral lists this transfer RNA (77 nucleotides) under Bacteroidetes bacterium MED-G17. RNAcentral's name for it is "tRNA-Arg". It matches the Rfam family "tRNA". From Rfam's summary of the family: Transfer RNA (tRNA) molecules are approximately 80 nucleotides in length. Their secondary structure includes four short double-helical elements and three loops (D, anti-codon, and T loops). Further hydrogen bonds mediate the characteristic L-shaped molecular structure. tRNAs have two regions of fundamental functional importance: the anti-codon, which is responsible for specific mRNA codon recognition, and the 3' end, to which the tRNAs corresponding amino acid is attached (by aminoacyl-tRNA synthetases). tRNAs cope with the degeneracy of the genetic code in two manners: having more than one tRNA (with a specific anti-codon) for a particular amino acid; and 'wobble' base-pairing, i.e. permitting non-standard base-pairing at the 3rd anti-codon position. The record is from RNAcentral. Lineage: Bacteria; Pseudomonadati; Bacteroidota.
GCACCCGUAGUUCAACUGGAUAGAAUACCAGAUUUCGGCUCUGGGGGUUGGGGGUUCGAAUCCUCCCGGGUGCGCUA